Molecule: non-coding RNA, 95 nt
Organism: Collybia nuda
Lineage: Eukaryota; Fungi; Basidiomycota; Agaricomycetes; Agaricales; Clitocybaceae
Source: the annotation of a GenBank genome assembly
GCCGUGGUAGCGCAAUGGUAGCGCGUUGCUUUCCGGAGUUGCAGUCACGUGACCCACUUAGGCAAAGGUUGUGGGUUCGAUCCCCAUCCUCGGUA